This 27-nucleotide microRNA is filed under the name Bos taurus (domestic cattle). Its description in RNAcentral is "Bta-Mir-362-P3a-v1_5p* (star (passenger))". Lineage: Eukaryota; Metazoa; Chordata; Mammalia; Artiodactyla; Bovidae. The record is from RNAcentral.
UAAUUCUUGCUCCCCAGGUGAGAGUGC